AGCAGACAAGACAAACGGUUAAGUCGCGGGUUUCAUGCACCUUGAGGACAGGGUUCGACUCCCUGGUCUGCUA
RNAcentral lists this transfer RNA (73 nucleotides) under Caudoviricetes sp. Its description in RNAcentral is "tRNA-Met". It matches the Rfam family "tRNA". From Rfam's summary of the family: Transfer RNA (tRNA) molecules are approximately 80 nucleotides in length. Their secondary structure includes four short double-helical elements and three loops (D, anti-codon, and T loops). Further hydrogen bonds mediate the characteristic L-shaped molecular structure. tRNAs have two regions of fundamental functional importance: the anti-codon, which is responsible for specific mRNA codon recognition, and the 3' end, to which the tRNAs corresponding amino acid is attached (by aminoacyl-tRNA synthetases). tRNAs cope with the degeneracy of the genetic code in two manners: having more than one tRNA (with a specific anti-codon) for a particular amino acid; and 'wobble' base-pairing, i.e. permitting non-standard base-pairing at the 3rd anti-codon position. The record is from RNAcentral. Lineage: Duplodnaviria; Heunggongvirae; Uroviricota; Caudoviricetes.